UCACAUGUGGUGCCGGGGUAAAUAAAACUCUGAGUUAUCUCAGAUCAGCUUCAGAGUUUUGUUACCCCGGCUCUCUGUGGG
RNAcentral lists this microRNA precursor (81 nucleotides) under Branchiostoma floridae (Florida lancelet). RNAcentral's name for it is "mir-4872 microRNA precursor family". It matches the Rfam family "mir-4872 microRNA precursor family". The record is from Rfam by way of RNAcentral. Lineage: Eukaryota; Metazoa; Chordata; Leptocardii; Amphioxiformes; Branchiostomatidae.